UGGGGAAUAUUGCACAAUGGGCGCAAGCCUGAUGCAGCCAUGCCGCGUGUAUGAAGAAGGCCUUCGGGUUGUAAAGUACUUUCAGCGGGGAGGAAGGUGUUGAGGCUAAUAACCUCAGCAAUUGACGUUACCCGCAGAAGAAGCACCGGCUAACUCCGUGCCAGCAGCCGCGGUAAUACGGAGGGUGCAAGCGUUAAUCGGAAUUACUGGGCGUAAAGCGCACGCAGGCGGUCUGUCAAGUCGGAUGUGAAAUCCCCGGGCUCAACCUGGGAACUGCAUUCGAAACUGGCAGGCUAGAGUCUUGUAGAGGGGGGUAGAAUUCCAGGUGUAGCGAUGAAAUGCGUAGAGAUCUGGAGGAAUACCGGUGGCGAAGGCGGCCCCCUGGACAAAGACUGACGCUCAGGUGCGAAAGCGUGGGGAGCAAACA
Molecule: ribosomal RNA, 427 nt
Filed under: uncultured bacterium
Lineage: Bacteria
Description: partial 16S ribosomal RNA
Rfam family: Bacterial small subunit ribosomal RNA
Source: RNAcentral